AUGGCAGGAGAGUCACACAGUCUACCCCAACCAAAUGGAGAGGCCUUAGAGGCUCCCUCCCGCUGUUCAGAGGUAAUUAAAAUACAGUACCCUUUGCAUGUAAAGAAUGAUAAGUCAAGAAAAGAUUACAAAAUGAAGCUCCUUAUGGAAAAUCAAGAGACACUUUUUGCUGACUAUUACAAAAAUGGGAACAUCAGCAACCUUAUCUUCCACACAAACCAUCCCCUGGCAUGGCACAGUGCUAUAUUAGCACACUACCCCUUUGUUACGAGAGGGGGGAUUAACGAGGGGUGGAAACUCAGAAUACUUGAUAACGAGGACUCUGAGUCAAGUAAUAUAAAUAUCUAUGAGUCCGGAACAGUAAUGGUACAGGCUAACCCCAAACAGUUUCAGCUGGACUUUCACCUAAUCAAAGAAUUAGCCCAGCAGGAGAAGCUCUCCCUUGAUAAAGAUACCCCCACACCGAGCGGGUCAGACCAGACCUCUUCAUUAUGUAACCCCACAGACGAGCAACCCCCAGCAGAGAGUCAACCUCCCAGCACAGACUACCACUCCCUCAUUGAAAUGAAGGACAAAUUCACCCAGCUGGAGAUAAGGCAGGUGGAACUGGAACAGCAGGUAAUUACACUUCAGUCAGCACAGACCCAGACAACAGUCCAGCACAACAACAGCCCCUUAACCAGACCCGGAGAGCUGGAGGUGGACAGAGACAUAUCUGCACUUUGGACAGUGGUGAGACAAAUACAACAAGAGAAAGAGGAGCAGAACAGAGCACUAGAGGAGAGUGUCAGACAGCUGGUGGAGGAGAGGUUGAGGGGGAUGGAGGAGAGGGUGAGGGGGAUGGAGGAGAGGUUGAGGGGGACGGCGUGCGACAGAGAACAACCCACUAGAGAAGUGGCCACCCCCACAGAGAAGCCAGUAGAACAGCCCACCUCAGCACCCAACAAAAGUCUCGACACCACAGCAGAACAGUCCACACCAGACCCUGACCAUAGAGUCGACAUCACAGCAGAACAGACAAAUGAAGAACCCCAAGCCCAGCGGCUCUCACCCCCUCUGAGCACCCCCCCUGUCAGCCUGCCUGAUAGCCCUUCUGACAACCCCCCACACCCACUGAGGACAAACACAAGACACAGAUUGUACUACUUAUGGACUCAAAUGGGAAAUAUAUAG
RNAcentral lists this long non-coding RNA (1173 nucleotides) under Oncorhynchus mykiss (rainbow trout). RNAcentral's name for it is "lncRNA (ENSOMYG00000056925.1)". The record is from RNAcentral. Lineage: Eukaryota; Metazoa; Chordata; Actinopteri; Salmoniformes; Salmonidae.